RNAcentral lists this transfer RNA (85 nucleotides) under Felis catus (domestic cat). It matches the Rfam family "tRNA". Rfam says of the family: Transfer RNA (tRNA) molecules are approximately 80 nucleotides in length. Lineage: Eukaryota; Metazoa; Chordata; Mammalia; Carnivora; Felidae. The record is from Rfam by way of RNAcentral.
ACCUGAGUGGCUCAGUCGGUUAAGUGUCCGACUUCGGCUCAGAUCAUGAUCUCACAGUUUGUGGGUUCAAGCCCCACAUCAGGCU